Molecule: transfer RNA, 70 nt
Filed under: Acinetobacter lwoffii
Lineage: Bacteria; Pseudomonadati; Pseudomonadota; Gammaproteobacteria; Moraxellales; Moraxellaceae
Also listed under: 8 other names
Rfam family: tRNA
About the family: Transfer RNA (tRNA) molecules are approximately 80 nucleotides in length.
Source: RNAcentral
GCCUAUAGCUCAGUUGGUUAGAGCAGCGGACUCAUAAUCCGUUGGUCGACAGUUCAAGUCUGUCUGGGCC